This is a regulatory RNA element of 133 nucleotides. It matches the Rfam family "RtT RNA". From Rfam's summary of the family: This family represents a bacterial cis-regulatory element known as RtT RNA. The exact function of RtT is unknown although it is thought that it may be involved in changing the cellular response in relation to amino acid starvation. The record is from Rfam.
AUAUGCACUUAUCGGGGAAGGGUAAGAACCUUUGACUAAGGUUCGACUCGAGCGACAGCGAGAGAACGUUGCCAUCAGGCAACGGCCCGAAGGGUGAGGAGCGAAGCGACGAAUAAUCCUUCCCCCACCACCA